UUACCUAUUCGUUACCUAUUCGUUACUUAUUCCCUAUUCCCUAUCGUUACCUAUUCGUUACUUAUUCCCUAUUCCUUAUUCGUUACUUAUUCGAUUUUUAAUAUCCUUCCCCCUUUUUAAUUAAGUCUCCCAAACAAAGUUUGGAGACUUAUUGUUUUUGCUCAGUUCUUAUUAUUUUUAUUAUGGCACCCUCAACGGAGUUGGGGUGACGUAUUGUUAUUCUACGUUUCUUUUUUUUCUUAUUAUGUCACCCGAUCGACAAUGUCGGGUGACAUAUUGCUUUUCCUCUGUUUCUUUUUCCCUAUUAUUAUGUCACCCGAUCGACAAUGUCGGGUGACAUAUUGCUUUUCCUCUAUUAUUAUUAUUUUUCUUCCACCUAAUUUUGUCCGGCAGUUUUCUCAGAGCCAAAGGAACCAAUCUGAAUGAUGGUGCACUAUAACAAGGAACCCUGACUUUCCUGUUGUUUUCUGGUAUUGGAACUAAAAAAAUGGCUGCCAUCACCAUGGAAACGGAAAAAUGGUGAAAAAAUAUAAUUUUGGAGUUGGGUGAAUUGUUUGAGAAUGCUUAACCUUAAAAUCUUUAGAUUUUAAUACAAUGUAGGUGCCCACUAUAUACUGCUUUGGGAUGAUUUUGGCAAUCAUUGGAACUGCUAUGUUGCCAUAGAUACUACACCAAAAAUUUCCGAAAUAUGGA
Molecule: long non-coding RNA, 693 nt
Filed under: Mytilus galloprovincialis (Mediterranean mussel)
Lineage: Eukaryota; Metazoa; Mollusca; Bivalvia; Mytilida; Mytilidae
Source: RNAcentral